RNAcentral lists this ribosomal RNA (510 nucleotides) under uncultured bacterium. RNAcentral describes it as "partial 16S ribosomal RNA". It matches the Rfam family "Bacterial small subunit ribosomal RNA", at positions 28 to 507 of the family's 1533-position model. The record is from RNAcentral.
GACGAACGCUGGCGGCGUGCUUAACACAUGCAAGUCGAACGAAGAGCGAUGGAAGCUUGCUUCUAUCACUCUUAGUGGCGAACGGGUGAGUAACGCGUAAUCAACCUGCCCUUCAGAGGGGGACAACAGUUGGAAACGACUGCUAAUACCGCAUACGAUCUAAUCUCGGCAUCGAGGAAAGAUGAAAGGUGGCCUCUAUUUAUAAGCUAUCACUGAAGGAGGGGAUUGCGUCUGAUUAGCUAGUUGGAGGGGUAACGGCCCACCAAGGCGAUGAUCAGUAGCCGGUCUGAGAGGAUGAACGGCCACAUUGGGACUGAGACACGGCCCAGACUCCUACGGGAGGCAGCAGUGGGGAAUCUUCCGCAAUGGACGAAAGUCUGACGGAGCAACGCCGCGUGAGUGAUGACGGCCUUCGGGUUGUAAAGCUCUGUUAAUCGGGACGAAAGGCCUUCUUGCGAACAGUUAGAAGGAUUGACGGUACCGGAAGAGAAAGCCACGGCUAACUACGUG